GACAGAGGAUGCAAGCGUUAUCCGGAAUUAUUGGGCGUAAAGCGUCCGCAGGUGGUUAUUCAAGUCUGCUGUUAAAGCGUGGAGCUUAACUCCAUAUCGGCAGUGGAAACUGGAUGACUAGAGUUCGGUAGGGGUAGCGGGAAUUCCCAGUGUAGCGGUGAAAUGCGUAGAUAUUGGGAAGAACACCAGCGGCAAAAGCGCGCUACUGGGCCGAGACUGACACUGAGGGACGAAAGCUAGGGGAGCGAAAGGG
This 253-nucleotide ribosomal RNA is filed under the name uncultured bacterium. RNAcentral describes it as "partial 16S ribosomal RNA". It matches the Rfam family "Bacterial small subunit ribosomal RNA", at positions 524 to 776 of the family's 1533-position model. The record is from RNAcentral.